UUUUCUGGAAAAAGGUAUGUUACUGCUGAUAUACUUUUCCUUUUCUUCCUGUUUGUGAUGCAGGUAUGAAGUCAUGGUGCUUAGAGAUACUUCACCUAUCCUGUGAAUAAGAAACGACAAAACAUACAUAUAAAAACAUGGCAGUCUGACAGAUGGAAAAAGCCCUCAGGUGGCAAGAAAAUGGCUCCAAGGUCACAAUUUGGGAGAAUAUGAUGGGAGAAUGAAGCAUGCCAGAAGUCAUAUAUUUAGCCCAAGUCUGAAAUUCCUGCUCCAGGAAACCAGAAGACUACAAGUAGCGCUCCUGAAUUUCUGCCUCUCCUCUCAUUCAUUGCCUGACCUCUCACUUCAGAGCUUAACAUACACCUCAACUAGCAGACUUUUAACACUGGGCAGGAAACUGUAACUUUGUUCUGAGAGAAGGUAUAGAACUAUCGGGUGACUCCAUGUUAAGAAGUGUGAUGGUCAGAGAAGAAUUAUUACUUCCUUUACUUUGUGGGCCUGGUGAGAACUCAGGAGGUGAACCUAAAAAAUGAGUGCCAGAUGGCUAUAGAAAAGAUGUACCUGGGGUCCACAGCUGUCUAGAAACUCUAGAAGGAAUGCCUUUGAUCAUCUACAAGUUGGACUCUGUAUAGCACAGGUUUCUACCCUCAUGGGGGCAGAAAAACUUGGUCUUCCAUAGUGGUCACCAGACUAAUCUCUGUAUUGAAAAUAAGCUGACUCAGUUGAGGCAGAAUGGGACCCAGAAAAGUGCUUGUGUUCACUCAGUUAUGUCUGGGUAUAGUCUUCAUCCAUUAGAGAAUUGAAGAACCCUGGAGGGCAGGAAAAACCUACUGAGACUGAGGGCCAGGUCUCCAUCUGUGUAAGCCAAGGGAAACCUGGCAGGGCCCCAAAUAUGAAGGAUUAACCCCAGCCCUGAAGGACAGGGCUCUUGGGGCUGAAAAUGGUAUAAAUUUUAGCCAAAAGGCAAAUUGGUUGGGUGAAAUAGUUUGAUAUGAAAAUUUGAUUGAACAAAUAUAUGUGGAUAUAUAUAUAUAUAUAUCCACAGAUAUAUAUAUCUUUAUUAUAUAUAUAUAAAUUUUUUAAAAAGAUAAGCUACUGUCAAUAUAUUGUGGGGUAUUAGUAAUGUAGGGAGAGGCAGAGUAAUUAAGAGCACAGACUCUGGUAUCAGACUAAGUAAUGACAUCUCAGCUCCACUGUGGCUGAGCUUCAUCUCAAUAUGGCCUUGAGUCUAUGGGUUUGAAUUCCAGCUCUGUAACAUUACUAGACUUGUAACUUGGGUCAGUUAUUGACUUUCACAUCUGUAUGUGUAGAAUACAACAUGGAAAGCACUUAUAUUGUGCCUAUACAUAGUAAGCACUCAUAAUUCAUAAUAUACCUAUUUUGGUACAUUUUGAGCCAGAAAUUACUCUUAAGUGUAUUACAUAUAUUAUCAAUAAAUAUAUACUAUUGCC
RNAcentral lists this long non-coding RNA (1451 nucleotides) under Mustela putorius furo (domestic ferret). RNAcentral describes it as "lncRNA (ENSMPUG00000026804.1)". Lineage: Eukaryota; Metazoa; Chordata; Mammalia; Carnivora; Mustelidae. The record is from RNAcentral.